GCCAGACUCCUACGGGAGGCAGCAGUGGGGGAUAUUGCACAAUGGGGGGAACCCUGAUGCAGCGACGCCGCGUGGGUGAAGGAGCGUUUCGGCGCGUAAAGCCCUCUCGGCAGGGAAGAAGGAGGACGGUACCUGACUAAGAAGCCCCGGCUAACUACGUGCCAGCAGCCGCGGUAAUACGUAGGGGGCAAGCGUUAUCCGGAUUUACUGGGUGUAAAGGGGGCGCAGACGGCAGCGCAAGCCAGGAGUGAAAGCCCGGGGCCCAACCCCGGGACUGCUCUUGGAACUGCGCGGCUGGAGUGCAGGAGGGGCAGGCGGAAUUCCUGGUGUAGCGGUGAAAUGCGUAGAUAUCAGGAGGAACACCGGUGGCGAAGGCGGCCUGCUGGACUGCGACUGACGUUGAGGCUCGAAAGCGUGGGGAGCAAACAGGAUUAGAUACCCUAGUA
This 446-nucleotide ribosomal RNA is filed under the name uncultured bacterium. RNAcentral's name for it is "bacterial SSU rRNA". It matches the Rfam family "Bacterial small subunit ribosomal RNA", at positions 330 to 792 of the family's 1533-position model. The record is from RNAcentral.